This 3958-nucleotide long non-coding RNA is filed under the name Homo sapiens (human). RNAcentral describes it as "PREDICTED lncRNA (TCONS_00189002)". The stretch from base 734 to 968 matches the Rfam family "SOX2 overlapping transcript exon 1". Lineage: Eukaryota; Metazoa; Chordata; Mammalia; Primates; Hominidae. The record is from RNAcentral.
UUUCUCCAUCCUAGUAAUCAAAUUUGAGCAAAAUCAAAUGGGGCUUUCUAUGAAAGUACCUUUUGUUGAUCUGAACGAGCUGGUAAUUUACAAAAUACCCUUCCUUUGUGAGGAAGGCUAAAGAAAAAAAGAAUCAGUAGCUUUUAAAGCUGGGCCUUAGUGGGACUCUAAAUGCAAUGAAAGCAGUCUGUGUUGAGAGACUGAAAUGCAUUUCAAAGCCAGGCCUGAUUCGGGGUACAAGGAAGAACAGACCUAUGUGCAUUUUGUAGGAAGAAAACUGUGAAUGGAAAAAGGAGAAGGGGAGAGAAACGGGGGAAAUCUGGAUAAUACAUUAAAGUAACCAUAAUUUUGGAGAUGCAUUCAUCUUAUUGAAAAUAUGUACGUAACCAGUGAUACCGAAGUCGGAUAUUUGCUCAAUCAGGAUGCUCAACAAUUUGAGCCUUUAAAGUUUGGAGCUGCAUGGGUUUGUGGAGAAAGUCGGCUCGUGAUAUUUCCUCAUGGUUGUGAUUCCUCUUCACUCUUUUGAAUUUGGAAGGAUGGCAUACACAUCUGAAAAAUACCACUACUUCCUUCAUUGGACUGCAAGGUAUUUCUGUUUGGAAAAGUAAUGGAGUCCAGUCAACUUCAUUGAUCGCCAAGGACUGUCAAAAUUAUAAAACUUGCUGUGGAGCUCUGACAUGCCAGAAGCCGCUAGAAAAAGAAGUUUGACAUUCAGAAACUUAUCAAGAGGUUCUACUCUUUGGAUAGAGACCAAAAUCAUACUUUGAAUGAUAUGCAAUGCAAGACUCCCAAGAUUCUGGGCAGUGGCAGGGAGGUGCAGCUUCUAGUCUGCCGCAUGAUCACAAUGUCAGCUGGUCCCUCUUCUCAGGUGUAGAUCACCUAUUAUAAUUUUACCUAAUUUUGAUACUCUGAUAAGGAAAGUCCCAGGACUUAUCAGCUGGGAUAGGCCUCACUUACAAGACAGCUCUGUUCAGUAUUUGGAAGAAAGCCUGACAGGUUUCUUCGGAAAAGUGGCCAUCCAUGGAAUGAAUGAAAUGUUCUCUUUCUAUUCCAAUCCAACUUAGAAAUAAUGUUUCAUUCAAGAUAAGGCUCGUGGCUUAGGAGAUUGUGACCUGGCUUGCAUCAUUCUAAGACUUCUAUCGUCUGUUUUCAAAACCCAAGGAGGACCUCCUUUUCUGUGUGAUAGUUCCUCAUGCUUUGCCAGCCACUGGGUCUUUAAGGAAGCUUGCCAAGAGUUCCCGGCUGGGAAGGACAGUUCGAGUUCAUCAUAGACAAUGAGCUGGCACCACAGUUUAAGUGACUCACCAACCUGGUUGCCCACUUCAAAAUGUCAAGAACCACACUAUCUAAUUGAAAGAACUGUGUUUUAGCAAAGUGUAAUUGGAUCGCCUGGCAAGAUCAUCUCAAACUAUGUCUCUGACCUUGCCUUUCAGUGGCUAUUUUGAGCACAAGAGGAGAAAGGAAAUGAUUCCUGAAUUAUAUCUUGUUUUUAAAAAUUAAGAUUAAUUAAUACUUGGUUUUAUGUUCAUUCCAUUGUAGGAACUUAGUGAUUAUUACAAAACAGUCAAAAUAGGUCAUAGCAAAAUGAACGUUUAAGAUUAGGUUAAAACAUUCCUCUGAAAUUUUAGUAUUCACUUUUGAAGUGUCAAUUACUAUAUUUCUGUAAUUUCUCAUUUUUUUCUUGGCUUAGAGUCAAGAUGAAAAAUGAUAUUUGAAUCAAAGACAUUGUUUUGUUAUAUAGCCACUCCUUUCUAAAAUGCAAAUCCACCCUCCCCUCACCAAUGCUUUAUUCUUUGUGCGCGCACACACACACACACACACACACACACACACACACACACACAGACAUACACAGAACCAGCACCCAAAUGGUAGAGGAGGUCCUUCCAAGACUUCUAGGACCUGGAUCAUGUAAGCAGUAGAUGAGAAAAUGAAGUAAGAGAUAUAGAGUAAUAACAAUAAAAGUCAAUGAUUUCAUUUUACAAAAAAGUCAUUGUGUAGUACUCAGAUAUUUUUAAGAGCAAGUAUUAUUAUGACUAAAGUAUAUUAUACUUCUAAAUUAUUAUGAUUCUCAUCUAAUUUCAAGCCACACAUAGGCGCCAUUUGAAAGCAUUUUGUGUUACAACCUAUCAACAAAAAUCAACUAAUAGUUUUAUAACGUGCAUAGGUUUACCCCAUGGGGAAUUAAAAUUUUUAUCUGCAAGUAUUUCUGUUGUUGUGAGACUUUAGGACAAGACAACAUUUGGUGUUAACAUAGAAGAAUAUUCUAUGGCUUUUUUAGCUUUAAAGUUCAUUACUCUAAAAUAAAGUACACGUGGUAUUUUUUUCUUCCUAGUGUUCUCUUAUUAUAUGUAGAGUAUUUUCGGUUGUUGUUUUUAACGUAUACAUUAUUUUUAUUAAGUCAUUUCAUAAAAGAUAAGAUAUAUACUAAUAGACCCUUGGUUUUCUCCUAAUUUAAUUAUUUCAAGUCAAGCAAAAUUGGGCAAUUUUCUUUCAGGAAAAAAAAAAUAUUGAGCAUGAUUUUGAGGUAAAACUGAUUAUUUACAGCAUCUUUUCUCUAAUAGGCUAACAUUUAUGAUGGAUCUUAUUUCAAAGUUGAUUAUUCUCAAAGAAAAGUGGAGAUAUUAGAAUUUCCGAGUAAAUUGCAUUGUUUUAAAAAGUACUUUAAUGCAUUGUUCACAUUGUUGCCAGCUAUUGACCAAAAAAGAGAAGAAGAAAAAAGAAAUAAAAAAAGCAGUAUCUGCUCCAAACGUCAAGUUUUGCAGUUUGAAAGACUUGUACAUUAUAAUUGUUUUUUUCUUUUUUGGAAAGCAGUAGUAAUUAAUACCAAAGGCAUAGACAAUUUAGGGCCAUAACCUCCCUUCCCCCCUCUCCACCUUUUUUUUUUUUUUUUUUUUUUUUUAACUUUAACCAUGAUAGGCAUCUCUGCAAGGUAGGUUUUAACAUAUUUUUUUCCUAAUUUUUUUCCCUCCAUUCAGUAAGAAGGAUAAGCUUUUAGAGUACCCAGUCACCGUGGUAACUGCCAAAAAAAUUCUCCUGAAGUUUGAAGAGGUCAGCUAGCAGGGUCAACAACCCUGGCCUCUCUCUGAGCUCGGUCUAGCAUGCCCCAGCCUGCGGUUGGAGUGUCAGGCCAGAUCUGACCCUGGGAGGUGGACCAUUCUGGCUCUGAUAUAAAUUUUUCGAGUCAGUUCAUGGCCUGGACUCUCCAGGUGGCCUCCAAAAUCGAUUUUGACCCCCUGACCCUGUCUCACGGAGGCAUAGCAUCCACCCUAAGUAAGGAUUUAGCCAGGAAUGACAGCUUUCCACUGAGUGUUAUUGGGGACAGUAUAAACAGUUUGGAAAGCAAGUAAGGAGGUGUGAGGGCUAGCAAUCAUUAAAAGCACAUUAAAAAACAAUUUUUAAAAAUCUUUAUUAGAGAAAGUUGUAAAUGCAUAUCUGUUACAGAAUUCCUGUGAUUUGUAGAGUUUUCUAGUCAGUUUUGAAUAUAAAUAGGUCACAUAUCUUUAUCUUUUUGCAUACUUUGUUACAAAUAUGCAAAUAAGAUAGGCAUACUUGCUACAAAAUAGGUACAGCAGGAAUGUAAUAUGUUCAGAAAAGGCAAACUGGUUAUUAAAACACAUUAACAGGUAAGGAGUUUCUAAUAUUUUAAAUACUAAAAUUUUACAUGUGUAUUUUGAAGUUUUUAAAAUGGAAAAAUAAAGAACCUUUAAAAAACCCAACAGUGUGGAAUAAAGAUAAACUUGUUGCACUCAAGGUACAUUUCUACUUUGUAAAGCAAGAAGCCAAUACACUCAGUUGGAUAAAAAUGAGAGAAAAAUUGUAAAUAUAGAGAGUUACAGCUUAUAGAGCUGAAGAGGAAUAAAACAAAAAAAAGUGUCUCUGAAUAACUUUAUGUAUUUUCAACAGUUUAAGAUAUCAGAAACUUGGAAAAUAAAUAUGAUAUAUAUAUAAAUCAUCA